This 72-nucleotide transfer RNA is filed under the name Fodinisporobacter ferrooxydans. RNAcentral describes it as "Alicyclobacillaceae bacterium MYW30-H2 tRNA-Glu". It matches the Rfam family "tRNA". Rfam says of the family: Transfer RNA (tRNA) molecules are approximately 80 nucleotides in length. Their secondary structure includes four short double-helical elements and three loops (D, anti-codon, and T loops). Further hydrogen bonds mediate the characteristic L-shaped molecular structure. tRNAs have two regions of fundamental functional importance: the anti-codon, which is responsible for specific mRNA codon recognition, and the 3' end, to which the tRNAs corresponding amino acid is attached (by aminoacyl-tRNA synthetases). tRNAs cope with the degeneracy of the genetic code in two manners: having more than one tRNA (with a specific anti-codon) for a particular amino acid; and 'wobble' base-pairing, i.e. permitting non-standard base-pairing at the 3rd anti-codon position. The record is from RNAcentral. Lineage: Bacteria; Bacillati; Bacillota; Bacilli; Caryophanales; Alicyclobacillaceae.
GGCCCCAUGGUCAAGCGGUUAAGUAACCGCCCUUUCACGGUGGUAACAGGGCUCCGAAUCCCCUUGGGGUCA